UUUCCGUGGGUGAACCUGCGGAAGGAUCAUUAAUGAGUUGUCAUGGGGUUCGAUGCUGGCAGCCAGUUUUUGGAUGCAUGUGCUUGCCCUAACAAUCAUCUUCUUCCAAACACCUGUGCACAUUUUUGAGGGAGUCUUGAGUUGGUUGCCGCUCUUGGGUGAUUUUCUCACAUUCCCUUAAAUCAUUAUACGCUAUUAACAAUGUUGAACGUGCUCUGUGCCGCAAGGCCAUUAAUAUAAUACAACUUUUAACAACGGAUCUCUUGGCUCUC
RNAcentral lists this unclassified non-coding RNA (272 nucleotides) under plant metagenome. RNAcentral describes it as "partial contains small subunit ribosomal RNA, internal transcribed spacer 1, and 5.8S ribosomal RNA". The record is from RNAcentral.